RNA transcript from Mustela erminea (ermine), 1835 nucleotides. It is a transcript of the gene named ras-like protein family member 11A, with no coding region annotated. The record is from RefSeq and is a predicted model, not a curated record. NCBI's taxonomy places the organism in Eukaryota, Metazoa, Chordata, Mammalia, Carnivora, Mustelidae. The transcript is spliced from 5 exons.
AAAACCGCCCACCCUGCAAGCUCUGUCGGACGCCGCGGUCCCCGCGCACCUGUGAUCCUACGCUAUCUGCUCGCGAACAGCUCCGCCGCGCUCGAGGCCGGGCUCGGCCGGCUUGAGCUCUCGGUGGCGGGACCCGCUCGACAGACGCGCUCUCCAUGCGGCCGCCAACCAUGUCUGGGCACUGUUUGCUCGCGCCCAUCCCCGAGUCCUCCUCCGACUGCCUCCUGCCCAAGGACAUCAAGCUGGCCGUGCUGGGCGCCGGCCGGGUGGGCAAGAGCGCAAUGAUCGUGCGCUUCCUGACCAAGAGAUUCAUCGGCGAUUAUGAACCGAAUACAGGCAAAUUGUAUUCACGGCUGGUCUACAUAGAGGGAGACCAGCUAUCCCUGCAGAUCCAGGACACCCCCGGGGGCAUCCAGGUCCAAGACAACCUGACCCAAGUAGUUGAUUCCCUGUCCAAGUGCGUGCAGUGGGCAGAGGGCUUUCUGCUGGUCUACUCCAUCACAGACUACGACAGCUACCAGUCCAUCCGCCCCCUUUACCACCACAUCCGGAAGGUCCACCCUGACUCUAGGGCCCCUGUCAUCAUCGUGGGCAACAAGGGAGACCUUCUCCAUGCCCGUCAGGUGCAAACGCAUGAUGGCAUUCAACUGGCCAAUGAACUCGGCAGCCUGUUCCUUGAAAUUUCCACCAGUGAAAACUAUGAGGACGUCUGUGAUGUGUUUCAGCAUCUCUGUAAAGAGGUGAGCAAGCUGCACAGCCUCAGCGGGGAGAGGAGGAGGGCCUCCAUCAUUCCCCGGCCGCGCUCUCCCAACAUGCAAGACCUCAAGAGGCGCUUCAAACAGGCUCUGUCUUCCAAAGUGAAAUCCCCCUCUGCACUGGGGUAAACCCAUCUCACACCAAUUUGGCUUUUUUUUUACUGUGCAUUUGUGCAGCUGAAAAAGACUGGGGACCUCCAUUUUUAAUUGCACAUUCAAAGUUUAUUUUUAUAAAGACUAUUGGUUUUCAAGUAUAUGUGUAUUUCUGAAAACCCAGUGAUUGCCUAGAAGUUGGUAGAGAUUUUUUUAAACAAAAUGAUUUUUUUUUUUUUACUCUAACUGCUAGCCACUUUUCCAUGAAAGGCAAAAUGGCAACAUUGCUCCUUGUUUUCUAAAUGCCUUUUUAUAGAAAUCAGACUUGCACCAGAGCCCAGAACGGCUCCAUGCUUGCCCUCAGUCUGAACUCCUCUCGGUGUUUUGUGGUACUAGGGGGGCUGAUGUAGAGGGAAUCUGUUGUGGAAGAAAGAAUGUGGAGGAGAAAAGAUUUGAGCAACUGCAGGAUGUCUGUCAACUAGGGCACUUUGCCACCGGCAUGAAAUUGAUACCAUGUGAUUUUCAAGGAAAGGGGUUCAUAGUAUGCUGGUGUUAACAAGUUGGAAACAUGAAUGGCUAUUUUAUUUAUGGUGCAAAUGGAAGUCUACCCUCUCUACCUGCAUUAGAAAACAGAAAUUCCUCAUGUCAUCUAGUGAGAAGAAUGUACCUGUUGGGACUAACUUUGGACUUUCAAUUCAAACCAAAGAUCUUAUUGUAAACCCUGUGAGUAGUAUCUUUUUGUAUAGUUAUAGAAUUGUGUUCUCCUUUUUACCUUGGUGGGAGAGGAGUUCCCAAGUGUUCAAGUGUUUACAAUGUUCAAACCACUUUUCGAACAAAGUAAAUUCACCCAAGGAAUAGUCAUACCCCUUGAAUCAGCACCCUGAGGACUUUGACCCAAUAAAUAAUCUUCCCAUUGGAUUACAAAUUGUCUUUUGCUAAAGGGCAUUUCACAGUGCAUGUUAGGAUUCAAUAAAGGGCAGAAUGAGA